ACCCGAAGGAGAGCUUUUUUCAUUUGAGUUAGACUCGAGUGAACCUGCUAUAGAAAGCAAAGCGACACAGGACAGCUAUUGGACCAUGGUCCAAAUGCGAUGCAAACGACUCACUUUGAUGUCGUUUAAGGAAAAGAUGGCGCGACGAUCGAGAUAGACGAGAAAGAUCAUGCUGAAACAAAGUCAUCUCGACUAAGAAGAGAGCAUUGGCAACGUUGCGGUCCAAAAACAGUUCGAGAAGAAGGAGCUCUGUGCUUAAAGUGUGCUUCCUACUACGAUAAAUGGUUUUCAACAGCGGUAUAUCAGGGUUG
This is a long non-coding RNA of Vespa mandarinia (Asian giant hornet), 311 nucleotides long. NCBI's taxonomy places the organism in Eukaryota, Metazoa, Arthropoda, Insecta, Hymenoptera, Vespidae. The record is from RefSeq and is a predicted model, not a curated record.